Molecule: ribosomal RNA, 578 nt
Filed under: uncultured Lysobacteraceae bacterium
Lineage: Bacteria; Pseudomonadati; Pseudomonadota; Gammaproteobacteria; Lysobacterales; Lysobacteraceae
Description: bacterial SSU rRNA
Rfam family: Bacterial small subunit ribosomal RNA
Source: RNAcentral
ACGGGUGAGGAAUACAUGGGAAUCUGCCCAAUCGUGGGGGAUAACGUAGGGAAACUUACGCUAAUACCGCAUACGACCUUAGGGUGAAAGCGGCGGACCGCAAGGCGUCGCGCGAUUGGAUGAGCCCAUGUCGGAUUAGCUAGUUGGCGGGGUAAAGGCCCACCAAGGCGACGAUCCGUAGCUGGUCUGAGAGGAUGAUCAGCCACACUGGAACUGAGACACGGUCCAGACUCCUACGGGAGGCAGCAGUGGGGAAUAUUGGACAAUGGGCGCAAGCCUGAUCCAGCCAUGCCGCGUGAGUGAAGAAGGCCUUCGGGUUGUAAAGCUCUUUUGUCCGGAAAGAAAAGCUUUCGGUUAAUACCCGGAAGUCCUGACGGUACCGGAAGAAUAAGCACCGGCUAACUUCGUGCCAGCAGCCGCGGUAAUACGAAGGGUGCAAGCGUUACUCGGAAUUACUGGGCGUAAAGCGUGCGUAGGUGGUUCGUUAAGUCUGAUGUGAAAGCCCUGGGCUCAACCUGGGAAUUGCAUUGGAUACUGGCGGGCUAGAGUGCGGUAGAGGAUGGCGGAAUUCCCGGUGU